This 583-nucleotide long non-coding RNA is filed under the name Homo sapiens (human). RNAcentral describes it as "non-protein coding lnc-APOL4-1:4". The record is from RNAcentral. Lineage: Eukaryota; Metazoa; Chordata; Mammalia; Primates; Hominidae.
GUAGAGAGAGGUGGGGAAAACAGCUUAGAUGGGUUCACAAAGCUCCCCGGGCUCAGCUCUGGUUCUGACACCCUCAGACACGGCCAGCUGACCCCAGAAGAAAGGAGGAUGCCCCACAACCACUUGGAGGGAGAUGCUUUGCUGAGAGUCCCUGUCCUCUGCAUCUGGAGAGCUUGGCUCAGAGCUGAGGUGGGAGGGAGGGCUCCUCUUCCAGGUCGCUCAGUUGGACACCGGAAUUGACCAGCCUGCAGGCUCACCCAUGGAGUACACACUGUGUCCUAGUCAAGCCUGAGGGGCAGUAUCCAGCCUCAACCCCCAGCAGAGGCUCCAGACAAAGGUGGGAGCCAGGCCAACAAUGACCCAGGAGGAUGGGAUCCUGGAUGCAGCUCCUCACAAGUAUUGGGCAGGUCCGAGGCCCCAGCUCUGUCUGCCCUCCUGCUCCUCUUCUCCCUCCUGGUCCUCCUGGUUCUCAUGGCUCAUGAGAUGGCGUUGAGACAGCUCCCCUGGCCUAGGGUGUCACAGAGUGAACAAAGCAGGAAGAAGGGGAAGGGAAGACCCCCUCCCGUCACCCCGUCCCUUACAG